Molecule: long non-coding RNA, 668 nt
Organism: Hyla sarda
Lineage: Eukaryota; Metazoa; Chordata; Amphibia; Anura; Hylidae
Exons: 3
Source: RefSeq, a predicted model, not a curated record
AAACUCUGGACAAUUUUCUAUAUUUCUGUAACAUUGUGUAUCCAAAGGUCUUCUGAUCCAUUUAUUUUACAUUAGUCACAAGACCCUCCUUUGUGGGGGCACCCGCCUGCGUUUUGGAAUGCCUGACGAAACAGCGUCUGACAGAAAAUAACUUGUAGGCUCCAAAAAUAGCCCGACCGUCUGAGUUUUAUUAGCCAUUCUGGGUGGAUUGCAUGAUGUUCGUGACCAUGGCGAUAAUUAAAGACUCGUGCUGAAGCACACAGGCAGGGACAAAGUCCAGGAAGUGAAGGCAGGACUAGUAUUCUUUGGCAGGACUUUGCUCACUCCUGUCCUAUCAGACUGCAGCAUGGCAACAGAGAGGAGGGGGUUACAGAGCAGCCUGCAGUGAUUGGAUGAAGAGGUUCAGGACGAAGAUGAGUCAUGCAAAGUGAGGAUACACCCCCUACAGAGCACAGAAUGAUAAACCAAGUAAACAAAAGAUAGAAGAAAGGCCUCACAUUCAUUCCUGCUGCAGGAUAAACAGCCGUCCGGGGCAGCGCCGAGCUGUGGUCUGGGCUCUAUAUUGGCCCAAGGCCACACAGAACUUCGGAAUCUAUCUCAAUAGACAAACGUUGAUCUGGACUUUUCAAUUAUAUCAAUUAAACCUCACAUUCUGAAAUCUGUGAAAA